RNAcentral lists this unclassified non-coding RNA (520 nucleotides) under uncultured Glomus. RNAcentral describes it as "SSU rRNA". It matches the Rfam family "Eukaryotic small subunit ribosomal RNA", at positions 569 to 1092 of the family's 1831-position model. Lineage: Eukaryota; Fungi; Glomeromycota; Glomeromycetes; Glomerales; Glomeraceae. The record is from RNAcentral.
AGCAGCCGCGGUAAUUCCAGCUCCAAUAGCGUAUAUUAAAGUUGUUGCAGUUAAAAAGCUCGUAGUUGAAUUUCGGGAUCAGUUGGUCGGUCGUGCCUCGGUACGUACUGGUCAAAUUGAUUCCUACCUUCUGACGAACCACGAUGUCAUUAAUUUGGUGUCGCGGGAAAUCAGGACUGUUACUUUGAAAAAUUAGAGUGUUUAAAGCAGGCUCGCGCUUGAAUACAUUAGCAUGGAAUAAUGAAAUAGGACGUUUGAUUCUAUUUUGUUGGUUUCUAGGAUCGACGUAAUGAUUAAUAGGGAUAGUUGGGGGCAUUAGUAUUCAAUUGUCAGAGGUGAAAUUCUUGGAUUUAUUGAGGACUAACUACUGCGAAAGCAUUUGCCAAGGAUGUUUUCAUUAAUCAAGAACGAAAGUUAGGGGAUCGAAGACGAUCAGAUACCGUCGUAGUCUUAACCAUAAACUAUGCCGACUAGGGAUCGGAUGAUGUUAAUUUUUAAUGUACUCAUUCGGCGCCUUAAC